This 478-nucleotide unclassified non-coding RNA is filed under the name Hevea brasiliensis (rubber tree). The record is from RNAcentral. Lineage: Eukaryota; Viridiplantae; Streptophyta; Magnoliopsida; Malpighiales; Euphorbiaceae.
GCGCCUGCUGAUCUCCUUGGAAUAAAGCUGGAGGAUCUCAAGGCCGUCGUCCUCGGCGGAAGUAGCGCGGUUAGCCACGGAGAAGGCCUCGUCCUCAAUUCGGCGUGCAGCGGCCUCUGCCUCAUCGUGGGGUAUAGCACCGUAGCGCUUGGAGAGAACAGAGGGAGUAGAUAAGGUCUCGAUUAAACGGGUGAUGACGGCAUCUCGAGUGCGCUGAGUCGGAGGCCAAAUGCUCAGCGAAAUACCGCUGCUGCUGAGCUUCUUGGGCUCUUCUUGCUGUGGCUGAGACUCGACAGGGGCUGAUUGGUGUUCCGGCGGUGGCGCAGUGGUGGCAGUACUGGUUUCGGAGUCGGUCAUGGUCGCGAAAGAAAUAGGAAAUUUUUUAGAUUUGGAAGGGAGAGGAGAUCGAGAGCAUUCAAUGGCUGCUUUAAGCGUUAACUGAGAAGUGAGAAGAGCGCUGCCGUGGGGUCAUUGAAUG